GAUGAACGCUGGCGGCGUGCCUAAUACAUGCAAGUCGAGCGAACAGACGAGGAGCUUGCUCCUCUGACGUUAGCGGCGGACGGGUGAGUAACACGUGGAUAACCUACCUAUAAGACUGGGAUAACUUCGGUAAACCGGAGCUAAUACCGGAUAAUAUAUUGAACCGCAUGGUUCAAUAGUGAAAGACGGUUUUGCUGUCACUUAUAGAUGGUUCCGCGCCGCAUUAGCUAGUUGGUAAGGUAACGGCUUACCAAGGCAACGAUGCGUAGCCGACCUGAGAGGGUGAUCGGCCACACUGGAACUGAGACACGGUCCAGACUCCGACGGGAGGCAGCAGUAGGGAAUCUUCCGAAAAGGGCGAAAGCCUGACGGAGCAACGCCGCGUGAGUGAUGAAGGUCUGCGGAUCGUAAAACGCUGUUAUUAGGGAAGAACAAAUGUGUAAGUAACUAUGCACGUCUUGACGGUACCUAAGCAGAAAGCCACGGCUAACUACGU
Molecule: ribosomal RNA, 496 nt
Filed under: uncultured bacterium
Lineage: Bacteria
Description: partial 16S ribosomal RNA
Rfam family: Bacterial small subunit ribosomal RNA
Source: RNAcentral